UCUAAUAUGGCAGAUAAGUGCAGUAGAUUUAAGCUCUACAUAUAAAGGAUAUACUUUUAUUAGAA
This 65-nucleotide transfer RNA is filed under the name Phlugiolopsis brevis. Its description in RNAcentral is "tRNA-Leu". The record is from RNAcentral. Lineage: Eukaryota; Metazoa; Arthropoda; Insecta; Orthoptera; Tettigoniidae.